This 301-nucleotide ribosomal RNA is filed under the name uncultured bacterium. RNAcentral describes it as "partial 16S ribosomal RNA". It matches the Rfam family "Bacterial small subunit ribosomal RNA", at positions 509 to 807 of the family's 1533-position model. The record is from RNAcentral.
CAGCAGCCACGGUAAUACGUAGGUGGCAAGCGUUAUCCGGAAUUAUUGGGCGUAAAGCGCGCGUAGGCGGUUUUUUAAGUCUGAUGUGAAAGCCCACGGCUCAACCGUGGAGGGUCAUUGGAAACUGGAAAACUUGAGUGCAGAAGAGGAAAGUGGAAUUCCAUGUGUAGCGGUGAAAUGCGCAGAGAUAUGGAGGAACACCAGUGGCGAAGGCGACUUUCUGGUCUGUAACUGACGCUGAUGUGCGAAAGCGUGGGGGUCAAACAGGAUUAGAUACCCCAGUAGUCCCUGUCUCUUAUAC